GCUGGUUUAGCUUAGUUGGUAGAGCAAUUGAUUCGUAAUCAAUGGGUCGUAGGUUCAAAUCCUAUAGCCAGCA
Molecule: transfer RNA, 73 nt
Filed under: Metamycoplasma auris
Lineage: Bacteria; Bacillati; Mycoplasmatota; Mycoplasmoidales; Metamycoplasmataceae
Description: Mycoplasma auris tRNA-Thr
Rfam family: tRNA
About the family: Transfer RNA (tRNA) molecules are approximately 80 nucleotides in length. Their secondary structure includes four short double-helical elements and three loops (D, anti-codon, and T loops).
Source: RNAcentral